UUGAACGCUGGCGGCAUGCCUUACACAUGCAAGUCGAACGGCAGCACGGGUGCUUGCACCUGGUGGCGAGUGGCGAACGGGUGAGUAAUACAUCGGAACAUGUCCUGUAGUGGGGGAUAGCCCGGCGAAAGCCGGAUUAAUACCGCAUACGAUCUACGGAUGAAAGCGGGGGACCUUCGGGCCUCGCGCUAUAGGGUUGGCCGAUGGCUGAUUAGCUAGUUGGUGGGGUAAAGGCCUACCAAGGCGACGAUCAGUAGCUGGUCUGAGAGGACGACCAGCCACACUGGGACUGAGACACGGCCCAGACUCCUACGGGAGGCAGCAGUGGGGAAUUUUGGACAAUGGGCGAAGGCCUGAUCCAGCAAUGCCGCGUGUGUGAAGAAGGCCUUCGGGUUGUAAAGCACUUUUGUCCGGAAAGAAAUCCUUGGCCCUAAUACGGUCGGGGGAUGACGGUACCGGAAGAAUAAGCACCGGCUAACUACGUG
RNAcentral lists this ribosomal RNA (485 nucleotides) under uncultured bacterium. RNAcentral's name for it is "partial 16S ribosomal RNA". It matches the Rfam family "Bacterial small subunit ribosomal RNA", at positions 30 to 507 of the family's 1533-position model. The record is from RNAcentral.